AAUAACUACACACCACUCAUUUGAGCUAACUUAGACAGAAAAUUACAAUAAACUGAAUUAGAAGACAAAAUAGGCUAAUAUUCAUGCUUCCUACUCUUCAAAUUGAUUCAUUUUUCAAAUUUUCACUUCACAUUUAAUAGGGUUACAAAGUUGUGUACGUGGAUAUGGCCACAUAAAAGGUAAAUUCAAGUCAGGAGUGCAGCAAAUGAUAAUCAGUAGCAGCGAAUACCAAUCAACAGCAGUUUCAAGUUAAUUCCAAACCCAGAAAGUGAUAUCAAGUAACCCAGGAGAUAGUUUCAUACAAGUAACACCAGUAAACGCCCAAACCAAACUUGAAUGAACUAAAUUCAACUCGAAAAUAACCCAAGAACCUUUUAAAACCUCAACUAUUAAAACACAAGGAAAAUUCAAGUCAUUUUUCAACCUUAGACAAGCUGGAGAUUUAAUUUAGAACUUAGGGCUUCAAGAUCACCCUAAAAGUUCAAUGGAAUAGCGAUUUUCUCGAGUUUUGUUGCCUGAAGUUUUUCAGUAUAUUUUC
Molecule: long non-coding RNA, 538 nt
Filed under: Nicotiana benthamiana
Lineage: Eukaryota; Viridiplantae; Streptophyta; Magnoliopsida; Solanales; Solanaceae
Description: long non-coding RNA (NBEN_LNC028051)
Source: RNAcentral